ACGGACUCCUACGGGAGGCAGCAGUGGGGAAUAUUGGGCAAUGUUUAGGAACCCUGACCCAGCAAUUCGCCGCGUGAGGGAAGAAGGUUUUCGGAUCGUAAGUCCUCUGUCCUUGGUGUUGAGGAAGGGUAGACGGUAGCCAAAGAGGAAGCCCCGGCUAACCCUACGUGCCAGCAGCCGCGGUAAU
RNAcentral lists this ribosomal RNA (187 nucleotides) under rumen bacterium enrichment culture clone AVCTGRB6B. Its description in RNAcentral is "partial 16S ribosomal RNA". It matches the Rfam family "Bacterial small subunit ribosomal RNA", at positions 331 to 524 of the family's 1533-position model. The record is from RNAcentral.